CCACGUUAAUGGUAACGACGGGUAAAAUACCGUUAAUGGUAAACAAAAAAAAACUAACCCGGUAAAUAUUAGGAAUUUAAUUAAAUAAACCUAAUAUUAAUUGGAAAGAGGACGAAUACUUUGAGAAAACGAAGUAUAUAAAAAUAUCCGAGUUAACGGGACUUAAAAAUAAAACGGGUUAUGACUUCCCCGAACCCACAAAGUAACUAGGAAUAUCAAUCUAGUUAAAUAUGUGUCUUAAAAACAAUAAAGAAAACUUAGUUAAUAAUCCUUUUGUUAACUCUAGAAACUUGAGGGACUAAAAGGGGUAAAAGAGAAAAUAGUUUUUAUUAAUUAAAACCAAAAACCCAAAACACAGUGUUUUGGUCGCAGACAACACAAGGGGCGAACAGGGGCUCUUUGCUCAAACCCUAUCUAGCCAAAAAUCAAGAAAUUGGAAGGACAAAUCAGUCCCAAAUCGAAAACCAAGCUAAGAUUAGUGAUCACUCGGGGUUAGAGAAUCACAAGAUUAACACUUCACAAGCUAGGUGGAGGCUUGGGAAAGAAGCGGGUCAAACGAAUCGAGUACGCGGAAAUAGAGCAAGGCUAGGAAAACGAAGACUCUCGCAUUUGAAGAUGACGAGGGUCGAACAAAUUACGGAUAUGAUAGAGGAACAGUCCGAGGUAUGACAAGCAGAGCAUAUUCAUCAAGGACUUAAAUCGCGUAGCGUUCGCGGACAUGGUUAACGGAAAGAGAAGCCCGUUAGGGCAAGCAUUACCAGACAACACAAGGGGCGAACAGGGGCUCUUUGCUCAAACCCUAUCUAGCCAAAAAUCAAGAAAUUGGAAGGACAAAUCAGUCCCAAAUCGAAAACCAAGCUAAGAUUAGUGAUCACUCGGGUUAGAGAAUCACAAGAUUAACACUUCACAAGCUAGGUGGAGGCUUGGGAAAGAAGCGGGUCAAACGAAUCGAGUACGCGGAAAAAGAGCAAGGCUAGGAAAACGAAGUGAAUGUCGUUACCAUCCGGAUGCCGAUCAAGCAACGAAGUGGACCGAACACAUCCUUAAUGAAGCUUCCGCGAUAUCUUUCUUUUGUUUAGUUUAAAAAUGAAAGUUGUAAACAUUUGAUACUAUAUUUUGAAUACUCUAAUUUUGUAUGAACGUUAACUUGUCAAAGUUUUUGAUAGGUCGCAUUUUUACAUAAAAUGCGUAUUUAAUAUUA
This is a long non-coding RNA of Helianthus annuus (common sunflower), 1201 nucleotides long. RefSeq lists it as uncharacterized. The record is from RefSeq and is a predicted model, not a curated record. Lineage: Eukaryota; Viridiplantae; Streptophyta; Magnoliopsida; Asterales; Asteraceae. The transcript is spliced from 6 exons.